This 1372-nucleotide ribosomal RNA is filed under the name uncultured bacterium. RNAcentral describes it as "bacterial SSU rRNA". It matches the Rfam family "Bacterial small subunit ribosomal RNA", at positions 28 to 1381 of the family's 1533-position model. The record is from RNAcentral.
GAUGAACGCUGGCGGCGUGCCUAAUACAUGCAAGUCGAGCGAACGGACGAGAAGCUUGCUUCUCUGAUGUUAGCGGCGGACGGGUGAGUAACACGUGGAUAACCUACCUACAAGACUGGGAUAACUUCGGGAAACCGGAGCUAAUACCGGAUAAUAUUUUGAACCGCAUGGUUCAAAAGUGAAAGACGGUCUUGCUGUCACUUAUAGAUGGAUCCGCGCUGCAUUAGCUAGUUGGUAAGGUAACGGCUUACCAAGGCAACGAUGCAUAGCCGACCUGAGAGGGUGAUCGGCCACACUGGAACUGAGACACGGUCCAGACUCCUACGGGAGGCAGCAGUAGGGAAUCUUCCGCAAUGGGCGAAAGCCUGACGGAGCAACGCCGCGUGAGUGAUGAAGGUCUUCGGAUCGUAAAACUCUGUUAUUAGGGAAGAACAUAUGUGUAAGUAACUGUGCACAUCUUGACGGUACCUAAUCAGAAAGCCACGGCUAACUACGUGCCAGCAGCCGCGGUAAUACGUAGGUGGCAAGCGUUAUCCGGAAUUAUUGGGCGUAAAGCGCGCGUAGGCGGUUUUUUAAGUCUGAUGUGAAAGCCCACGGCUCAACCGUGGAGGGUCAUUGGAAACUGGAAAACUUGAGUGCAGAAGAGGAAAGUGGAAUUCCAUGUGUAGCGGUGAAAUGCGCAGAGAUAUGGAGGAACACCAGUGGCGAAGGCGACUUUCUGGUCUGUAACUGACGCUGAUGUGCGAAAGCGUGGGGAUCAAACAGGAUUAGAUACCCUGGUAGUCCACGCCGUAAACGAUGAGUGCUAAGUGUUAGGGGGUUUCCGCCCCUUAGUGCUGCAGCUAACGCAUUAAGCACUCCGCCUGGGGAGUACGACCGCAAGGUUGAAACUCAAAGGAAUUGACGGGGACCCGCACAAGCGGUGGAGCAUGUGGUUUAAUUCGAAGCAACGCGAAGAACCUUACCAAAUCUUGACAUCCUUUGACAACUCUAGAGAUAGAGCUUUCCCCUUCGGGGGACAAAGUGACAGGUGGUGCAUGGUUGUCGUCAGCUCGUGUCGUGAGAUGUUGGGUUGAGUCCCGCAACGAGCGCAACCCUUAAGCUUAGUUGCCAUCAUUAAGUUGGGCACUCUAAGUUGACUGCCGGUGACAAACCGGAGGAAGGUGGGGAUGACGUCAAAUCAUCAUGCCCCUUAUGAUUUGGGCUACACACGUGCUACAAUGGACGAUACAAAGGGCAGCGAAACCGCGAGGUCAAGCAAAUCCCAUAAAGUUGUUCUCAGUUCGGAUUGUAGUCUGCAACUCGACUACAUGAAGCUGGAAUCGCUAGUAAUCGUAGAUCAGCAUGCUACGGUGAAUACGUUCCCGGGUCU